ACUCUAAGACCCGCUCUUGGUAAAGUUUACGUGAACUGAGAUCCUCUUCACGUUGAGCCAUCUUCCCUGAGCCUUUUCCAAUGCCAGAAGAAUUCAGAUUCCAUAGGAAGCAGGGAAGACUGCUCUCAGGAGAAGGUGGGAGGGGAGAAUGUAGUCUUAAUUUUGGGAAUGUCUUGGGGAUUCCUUCCCCCACUUUUUUUUUUCCUUGAGCCCUUGCUACUUGAUGAUAUGAAGCCACAGUGAAUUAGCACCCAGAAGCCUUCCCUUCUGUCUCUAGAAGUCUUUGCCAUUUAUGAAGAUAAAACCCUUAUAUCUCAUUUGAGGACUGUCAAAUAUGCCCAAAUAACAGAGACUUAAACACAUAGAGGUUUAUUUUUCUCAUGGGACAUGAAGGAAUUAGGGAACCCAUGUCCACGGCUGCUGCUCAGGAUCACUCAUCCAUCCACAGCCUGGGGUCCUCUGGCUAUCUGUUUCACUAUCCCCAGAUCUUGGCUUUCGCUUCAUGGUCCUAAGAAGCAUCUACAUUCUGAGCAGAAAAACAGGGGGCAGGGAGGACAGAGAGCAAAAGACGUAUGAGAGAUGGAUCUAUCCCUUUUUCAAGCAGGAAAAUGACAACUUUUCUAGAUGCAGUGGCUCACGCCUGUAAUUCCAGCACUUUGAGAGGCCGAGGCAAGAGGAUCGCUUGAGGCCAAGGGUUCGAGACCUGCCUGGGCAACAGAGUGAGACCCCCUAUCUCUACAAAAAAUAAAAAAAAAAUCUAGUUGGGUGUGGUGGUGCACUCUUAUAGUUCCAGCUACUUGGGAGGCUGAGGUGGGAGGAUCGCUUGAGCCUGGGAAUGGGAGGCUGCAGUGAGCUGUGAUGGCACCACUGUACUCCAGCCUGGGCCACACAGCGAGACCUUGUCUCUAAAGAAGGAAAAAGGAAAAUGAUAGCUUUUCUGGAAGCCCUACCCAGCAGAUGUGUACUUAUUUCCAACUGGCUGACAUUGUAUCUCAUGGCAAUUCCUAGCCGCAAGAGAGUUUGGGCAAAUGAGUAUUAAUUGGGCACUUCCCGAACCUAACAAAAUUGGGACCCUGUUGGCAAGGAAAAAGGGGAGAGUUCCAAAAUUAUACAGAUCUUGAAUAGCAAAUAUGGGGAGCAAAACCAAUUAUAAGCCUAAAAUAUCUAUGGUAGCCAUAGGAAGAUGUGGGAUUUUAGAGGGGGCUUUUAUCAAUUGUGUUAUUAACAGGUAACAUACAUACAAAAAGGUGAGCUCAACUUAGGGAUACAGCUGGAUGCAUGUUAACAUAUCUGUACAUUUGUGUAUGACCACCCAGGUUGAGAUGCAGGCCAUUUUCAGCACCCUAGAGGCCCUUUUAUUCCCUCUCAGUCAGCAAACCUUCCACUCCUAAGAUAACCACUUUUCCAGCUUCUACCUCUUUUUUUUAUCUAUUUAUUUUAUUUAUUUAUUUAUUUAUUUAUUUUUGUGAGACAGGGUCUCUGUAGAGUGAGUGCUCAUAUGAGCACUCCCAGGCUGGAGUGCAGUGGUGCGAUCUUGGCUCACUACAACCUCUGCCUCCCGGUUUCAAGCAAUUCUUCUGCUUCUGCCUCCCGAGUAGCUGGGGUUACAGGCGCAUGCCAACACACCCAGCUAAUUUUUAUAUUUUUAGUAGAGAUGGGGUUUCGCCAUGUUGGACAGGCUGAUCUCAAACUCCUGACCUCAAGUGAUCUGCCCACCUCCGCCUCCCAAAGUGCUGGGAUUACAGGCAUGAGCCACCAUGCUCGGCCUUGUUUCUAUUUUCUUUGACACAAGCACUGUUUAUCUUCCAGUGUAAGAACGCAAUCAACCAUAGCACUGUGGGAUAGCAGCCAGGAGGCUGGCUGUAUCCUGCUGCAGCAGCCACCACACAUGGAGGGCGGAGGGACAGCCACCCUGUUGUGUAGCUCGGAGCAGCUGUGUCCUUCAGUGCAGGUCCAGCCAAGAGCCGUGGGCCACAGAUGACGCUGGUGGGGAAGCAGAGGGCAGACUAGGCAGAGGCAAGGCUUUCCUGUGCCCUGAGCUGUCAGAGAUGGGCCAGGGCCUUCAGCUUCCUCGAUAGGGCAGAAGUGACCACGCUGGCUCCAUUCAGCAAAGGACGUGGACGGAGCUGCCGGGCUUGUCUGAGAGGAGGAGAAAUGUGGAAUUGAGUGAGGCUCUCUAAGAAGGUUCUGCUGGAGUUGAGAAAAAUUAGGGUGAGGCACCUCCCCGAUUUUAUGUCCUUUUUCCUGGGUCCAGCCUCCUGAACAGCUACCAUUCGCUUCUGUGAGACACCUGUCGGUGCCUCCUUUUCCAGCCCUUAAUGGAACGUUCCUCUCCCAGCCACCUCAGACUUCCCAUACCACCCUCCCUGGACAGGAAGCGUUUUUACAGGAGUUUGAAGCUUCAGGAGUGCCCUCCGGCCACAUGAAGACAAGGCGCUAACAAACAUGGCGUUCUGCAAAUUGCACCAUCGCCAACUCCUGUCUUACUCUCACAGAGGUCUCUUGGGCUCUUCUGAGAAGGUUUAGGAUAAUAACCUGUGCAGAGAGAGGGUCUCCUGUCCUGAAGUCACAGCCCGGAUCUCCAGGCUGGCUCUGCUGCCUCUGAAUGAUUUGUGGGUCACACACGCCAACAGCAUCGCCAAGGGCUGACAUCAGCCUGCUUGAGCCACGGAAACUGAAUGGGCAAGGAUGAGUUCCCCAGCACAGAGGGAGGCAUCCUCUGUCAAGACCAUCUGCGCAUGUGCUGUGCAGUCUCCAGUCUGCACUGUGAGUGUGUCUCAACGGCUUUUGAGAACUGCUUCGAGAGGGGACCAGAUGCGCAGAGACAAGCUUCCAGCCUGGCUAGGGACGGACCCUCUGGGGAUGCUCCUCUCUGGCCGGGCAGCAGUAGAAGCACCUGCCUCCAUCCACAUCCAGACGCCAUUCCCUUUUCUUCACCGCUGCUUCCCAUCAGAUGGUCCCCAGGAGUGGCAACCUCCCACUUGGUCUCGCAGGAGUCCCAGUGCUUCUCAGGUGUGUGUGCCACAUCCCUCUUCUCUGAACACACAGUGGUCAGGGUGCCUGCACAGGGAAGGGCACCACAGUCCACCCUGGGAAAGGUCUUCAGUCUUCGGGAAAGAGCCUGUAAGCACCUUGACUGCUCUUCUUCUCUAGGGCAGAGAGCUUUCUUAUCCACAGGGGUCCUUAGUCAGAGAGAGGGAGCGCACUCGGUGAGCUCUUUCAGAGGCAGCAGAGCCCUCUGCCUC
RNAcentral lists this long non-coding RNA (3245 nucleotides) under Homo sapiens (human). RNAcentral describes it as "non-protein coding lnc-KRTDAP-1:6". The record is from RNAcentral. Lineage: Eukaryota; Metazoa; Chordata; Mammalia; Primates; Hominidae.